RNAcentral lists this unclassified non-coding RNA (184 nucleotides) under Glomeraceae sp. RNAcentral describes it as "partial contains 5.8S ribosomal RNA and internal transcribed spacer 2". The stretch from base 1 to 71 matches the Rfam family "5.8S ribosomal RNA", at positions 84 to 154 of the family's 154-position model. The record is from RNAcentral. Lineage: Eukaryota; Fungi; Glomeromycota; Glomeromycetes; Glomerales; Glomeraceae.
GUGAAUCAUCAAAUUUUUGAACGCAAAUUGCACUCUCUGGCAUUCCGGAGAGUGUGCCUGUUUGAGGGUCAGAUUAAUUAACAAUCUAGGUGUUGCGGGGUUGUGUUCGAUCGGAAUUGGGUUAUCUUUGACCUUUUAAUUAGUUUAAGUGACCUAAACUUUAUACUUUGUGCAUCUCAGCCGA